AAUUAAAAAUAAAAAAUAAAAUAAAUUCAUAAAUAUCAUGUUCGCAAUAUUAUUUUCAAAUAAAAAAUCAUGAAAAUACAAUUGAAUGGGUUUUGGGUAUAAUUGGCCCGUUCCAUUCCAUUAAUGAGAUGGACAUGAGGAAAAAUGGUGAUUUUGAAAAAUGUUUUAUAAUUAGGAUAACCGGGGAUGGUCUUCAAGAUCAAAGGGUAUACC
This 213-nucleotide long non-coding RNA is filed under the name Vitis vinifera (wine grape). RNAcentral's name for it is "long non-coding RNA (VVIN_LNC003065)". Lineage: Eukaryota; Viridiplantae; Streptophyta; Magnoliopsida; Vitales; Vitaceae. The record is from RNAcentral.